Molecule: ribosomal RNA, 451 nt
Filed under: uncultured bacterium
Lineage: Bacteria
Description: bacterial SSU rRNA
Rfam family: Bacterial small subunit ribosomal RNA
Source: RNAcentral
GAUGAACGCUGGCGGCGUGCCUAAUACAUGCAAGUCGAACGCACAGCGAAAGGUGCUUGCACCUUUCAAGUGAGUGGCGAACGGGUGAGUAACACGUGGAUAACCUACCUCAAGGUUGGGGAUAACAUUUGGAAACAGAUGCUAAUACCGAAUAAAACUUCGUAUCGCAUGAUACAAGGUUAAAAGGCGCUACGGCGUCACCUAGAGAUGGAUCCGCGGUGCAUUAGUUAGUUGGUGGGUAAAGGCUACCAAGACAAUGAUGCAUAGCCGAGUUGAGAGACUGAUCGGCCACAUUGGGACUGAGACACGGCCCAAACUCCUACGGGAGGCUGCAGUAGGGAAUCGUUCCACAAUGGGCGAAAGCCUGAUGGAGCAACGCCGCGUGUGUGAUGAAGGCUUUCGGGUCGUAAAGCACUGUUGUAUGGGAAGAACAGCUAGAGUAGGGAAUGAC